CGAAGGGGGCUAGCGUUGCUCGGAAUCACUGGGCGUAAAGCGCACGUAGGCGGACUCUUAAGUCGGUGGUGAAAUCCUGGAGCUCAACUCCAGAACUGCCUUCGAUACUGAGAGUCUCGAGUCCGGGAGAGGUGAGUGGAACUGCGAGUGUAGAGGUGAAAUUCGUAGAUAUUCGCAAGAACACCAGUGGCGAAGGCGGCUCACUGGCCCGGUACUGACGCUGAGGUGCGAAAGCGUGGGAGCAAACAGGAUU
This 253-nucleotide ribosomal RNA is filed under the name uncultured bacterium. Its description in RNAcentral is "partial 16S ribosomal RNA". It matches the Rfam family "Bacterial small subunit ribosomal RNA", at positions 526 to 779 of the family's 1533-position model. The record is from RNAcentral.